This 253-nucleotide ribosomal RNA is filed under the name uncultured bacterium. RNAcentral describes it as "partial 16S ribosomal RNA". It matches the Rfam family "Bacterial small subunit ribosomal RNA", at positions 524 to 776 of the family's 1533-position model. The record is from RNAcentral.
UACGGGGGGGGCAAGCGUUGUUCGGAAUUACUGGGCGUAAAGGGCUCGUAGGCGGCCAACUAAGUCAGACGUGAAAUCCCCAGGCUCAACCUGGGAACUGCGUCCGAUACUGGAAGGCUUGAAUCCGGGAGAGGGAUGCGGAAUUCCCGGUGUAGCGGUGAAAUGCGCAGAUAUCGGGAAGAACACCCGUGGCGAAGGCGGCUCUCUGGGACGGUACUGACGCUGAGACGCGAAAGCGUGGGGAGCGAACAGG